RNAcentral lists this ribosomal RNA (253 nucleotides) under uncultured bacterium. Its description in RNAcentral is "partial 16S ribosomal RNA". It matches the Rfam family "Bacterial small subunit ribosomal RNA", at positions 524 to 776 of the family's 1533-position model. The record is from RNAcentral.
UACAGGGGGUGCAAACGUUGCUCGGAAUCAUUGGGCGUAAAGCGCACGUAGGCGGUUCGUUAUGUCGGAUGUGAAAGCCCUUGGCUUAACUGAGGAAGUGCAUCCGAAACUGGCAGGCUAGAGUACUAAAGAGGGUCGCGGAAUUCCCGGUGUAGAGGUGAAAUUCGUAGAUAUCGGGAGGAACACCGGUGGCGAAGGCGGCGACCUGGGUAGAUACUGACGCUGAGGUGCGAAAGCGUGGGGAGCAAACAGG